GCGGCAAUAGCUCAGUUGGUAGAGUACAACCUUGCCAAGGUUGGGGUCGCGGGUUCAAGUCCCGUUUGCCGCU
Transfer RNA from Prevotella sp. CAG:520, 73 nucleotides. It matches the Rfam family "tRNA". From Rfam's summary of the family: Transfer RNA (tRNA) molecules are approximately 80 nucleotides in length. Their secondary structure includes four short double-helical elements and three loops (D, anti-codon, and T loops). Lineage: Bacteria; Pseudomonadati; Bacteroidota; Bacteroidia; Bacteroidales; Prevotellaceae. The record is from Rfam.